Molecule: small nuclear RNA, 95 nt
Filed under: Clytia hemisphaerica
Lineage: Eukaryota; Metazoa; Cnidaria; Hydrozoa; Leptothecata; Clytiidae
Source: RNAcentral
GUUCUCUCCGGAGACACGUAUAUUAAAAUUGGAACGAUACAGAGAAGAUUAGCAUGGCCCCUGCGCAAGGCCGGGGGGAGGAUCUUUGAGUUGAU